This 2777-nucleotide long non-coding RNA is filed under the name Bos grunniens (domestic yak). RNAcentral describes it as "lncRNA (ENSBGRG00000020234.1)". Lineage: Eukaryota; Metazoa; Chordata; Mammalia; Artiodactyla; Bovidae. The record is from RNAcentral.
AUGCCUUUCCCCAAGCCGUGGACUGAUCCAGCGCAUGUGGGCGAUUUCUUUAACUUUCUCCCCUUCGGUCUUUCAUCUUUGGGUUGCACAAUGGAAGGGAGAGAGCGGGGCGAAAUAUCUCGCACCCAGGUCGGGCGAGCAGCGGACUGUAAUUCUCUUGCAUGCAACAAGACCGAGGAAAAGAAAGAGAGGGGGGGUGGGGGGGGAAAGCUCCCAAUGCCCAAUCAAUGGCAAGACGAAGUGAUUUCCUUGCCUCUCGGAUUCCUCUCGGCAGCGUGGAAAACGAGCCCCUGGAAAGCAACUUCAACUCAUCCAGGCUCCCGUGCAGAACACUCCGGUUCCAACAAGUCAGCCGAUCCCCGGGUUCAGCCGGCUAGUGCAUCUUGCAGCUGGGGCGCCGUAACCUCACAAAUCCCUGCAUCUCUCUUUAUUCCCUUCUGCAGCAGCUCCAAGACUCCGGCGGUGUUUACUCCUGCGCUCGCGGCGCUUCCCAGGCCCCCGCGCGAUCGCUGCCGACCGCCGCGUUCGGUCGCCGAAUGUUACCCGGUUCUGAAUGUUACACUUACACAUUCCAUUCCCGACACUACAGCGCUGACCUCAUCCAUCCACGCAGCCCGCGCUGCCAUUGGCCGAGCGUCACGUCCGGGGUGGGCGGUGCUUCCGCUGCGCCCAUUCAUAACCCCCGGCCACCGGCAGAGGCGCCGGCGCGGCGCUGGGGGUGCGGGCGGCGAAGGGACCCCGGGGCGCCUCGGCCGGGCCCCAGCGGGCGGAGCGCGGGGCUGCCCCGAGAGAGUCCGCGGCCCUUCGGUGCCCCGGGAUCCAGACCCCGGCCUGGGCCGCACCACCUGCAGCCGCCGCGCCGGGAAACCAGCGCCUCCCAGAGGCGCCUGCGGGCGCGCGGAGGCUGGAGAACCGGGGACUGGCGGGCGCUUCCCCGGCCCGCUGCUCCGGCUGCCCCGGUCGUCCUCGAGAAUUCCUACUCCUCCGCUGCCUGCCGGGAGCGCCUCCCCGAGCGGGCGGCGGCGUGUGUUCGGGUUCCUGGAGAAGGAUGCUCGAAAAGUGGAGCAGUGGGGCGAGCCCUUGGGCUGCAGGAGGAAAAAAAAAAAAAGGACUUCAUAGAAAGCGACCGCUGACCAGAAGGAUGUCUCUCUCUGCCCACCUUCCACCCUCUGAGGGCCCCAAAUUUUCCUUCCUACAAAGCAUUUAAACAGGUCCCUUAUCCCGUAAAUGUGUGCAGUGUCGCUUCAAUCGUGUCCGACUCUUUGCCACCCCCAUGGACUGUAACCUGCCAGGCUACUCUGUCCAUGGGAUUCUCCAGGCAAGAAUACUGGAGCAGGUUGCCAUGCCUUCCUCCAGGAGAUCUUCGCAACCCAGGAAUCGAACCCAUUAUCUCCAGCGUCUCCUGCAUUGCCCAUCUCUUUUUCCUUACCCCCAAGGAACCACCCCAAUCCCCAAUAAUAAAAAGGAAAUACUACAACCGAAAGGAAUCGUUUUAAUUCUUCAUGUCUGUCUGUGCACUAAGAGAAGACACCUAUCCCAAAUCCUCCGUAACUUUCCGCGCAUCCUUUCCUAGCUUCCGAAGCCCUUUGUCUAUUCUGUAGAAACCCUCCAAGAGAUCCAAUCACACCGUGGAAAAAAGAAAGAUCUAAUAGCCGAGAAUAACCCGGUUGAUUUAAGCUCCUCCCAGUACCGAAAGUGAUGUUACUCUCUUUUGCGGGGGAGGGGGAAUGGUUUUUAAGGCGCUGUCUCUGAGGGACAGAUGACUGGUAGAAUGGCCAGCUGUAGAUGAGACACUUGAGGCAGGGGAUGACCUUUUUUACCAUUAGUACAAGCUAGUCCUUCCUUCAGCGGCCCUCCCACACGCCAGCCAUGAGCCCCUACCCUCAGGGACCCAUCACUGGACAAAUCAGAUAAAGAUCCAGAGUCUCUCUAAUGAUCCUCCAAGACUGCAAAGAUGUGCUUCCAAACAGUACUUCUGGUCAAAGCCAAGUCCCUGGCCUUACAGCCUGAAUUCUGCUUUACUGGGAACACCUCCCACCCUCUUCCCCAGCCUAAGUCACAGGGGCCUGGCCAAACUGGACAAACAGUUGCCUAGGGCCGCAAGCUGUUUAGUGAUUGUUUAUUAUGGGAGGGACUGAGAGCUAGGGACAGACACAUCCCAGCUUCCCCCAAGGCUGCAAAAAAAAAAAAAAAAAACUCCAGCGGGUGUGGACAAAGGGCAUGGUUAUAAUGAGGCAGGAUGAAAUGAAUAAGUGGAAAAUUUUAGACAUUUGUUGUUUCAGAUUUGUUUUUAAUAAAGGGGUGAAGGGGCCUGAGUAGGAUGUUGCUGUACCUUUCUGAAGUCUUGCCCUAUCUCUGGCCUGCCAAAGAUGAGAUAGCUUUUCCAGAUUUGACGUGUACCCCCUGCACAAUCAGACAGGCCUGGGAGAGAAAUGAGGCUUCAGUCAUCUUCCAGAUACAAUGACAGUGAUGCAGAUAAAUGCAGUGAUUGAAACCACAUGUGACCCAGGGGCCCACCCCAGCCUGGGUUGCUGAGAGCACCCAUGCAAGGCAAGGGCCCUUCUGUUGAGAUUAGGCUGGAGAUUUUCUCAGCCCAAUGGAACUGAGGCUAUGGGGACUGCAGCUCCUCUACAUCCUGACAGUCAUCCUGUGUGACCGUAGUGGGAGCAAGUCACAGCCCUUGCUCUUUUGCAUCUCUUUCUGCUUUGACACAUUUUUCCCAUCUUGCCUAAGUAUUAUGGAUUCCUUCAUCCCACGCUCCAGGGUUAUCCAGCCCU